AAGAUGUUAGUUAAAAUUAUAAUAUUUGAUUUGCAUUCAUAAGGUGCUAUACGGCAUAUCUUA
This 63-nucleotide transfer RNA is filed under the name Cloeon dipterum. RNAcentral's name for it is "tRNA-Ala". Lineage: Eukaryota; Metazoa; Arthropoda; Insecta; Ephemeroptera; Baetidae. The record is from RNAcentral.